UCUAUCACCGUCUUUUACGCGUUAAGUCAGCACUGCAAAAUUCAGCCUAACUCCAUAUCAAGUGCCAACUGUCCAAUUGUCAUCUGUGUCGUCGUUGCAAAUCUGUUGCUAAACCACUAGGUAGUUCAUGGAAGCCCGACGGCGAACUCCGAAAAGCUGUUGCAGGACUUCAUGAACGGUAACUAUUUGAUGACGAAUCCCUUUGAGGGAGGUCUUCUAUAUCCUGCCAUGUCUGCUUACUACAGGUCUUAAUAUCGUUCUCGGCGCUCUUGCUGUGAAGGCUCUGAACGGCACGCCGACUGGUAUACCCUCAACGGCGGUCGACUUGACAACCAUCUGCUUUCUUUUCUCUUGUCGAAUUUCAGUUUAACCAUCGCUGGUGCUUGGCGUUGGUACUUUAUCGUAGGACCAAUAGUCCGAGAUCCACCGUGCCACAACGACCACGGCCAAGUGCUGAUCGACGUCGUCAGCCAGCGCGUCAACGUGGACUAAAACAUAAGGACCUAUCACAAUAUGCGACACUCGGUUGGUGUCAAUGAAGUUGCCAAAUGAGUGACUGUGACUAGGACAACAAAAAAGAACCUAACCCUGUCCCCCGUCGUCUCCGCGGAAAGUCGCAAACAGCAAACGUAUUACCAAGCCCACUGUGUAAUGCAAUCGUACUGUUUUUUGUCAUAUGCGUAGUUGAUGCCAGCUUCACCCAUGGCGGUUUCGCUGCUGUUGACGAAGGGAGAAAGGCCAUUCAAGUGAGAUCAGUCCACGCGUCAAUCCUACGGAAACGACAUCAUUCACUCGAUCCGAUCAAUGUCAUCGUCGUAUUGAUUUGUUGCUUGGCAGACAGAUGUUGCAACGUACAAACGGAAGAAAAGGACCUAGAGUACUCCGCCCCAUCGAUAAACCAACCUGAACUGAACCCAGAUCGCAGCGAAUACAAGCAGUCGCUCUGCUAGUAAAUCAAAUAUCGGCUAAGUUGUCUGUUCAGCAGGUCAUAUGUACGAGAUAGGGCGGACGGUGGCGCUCCACUUCCAGCGAUUAUGAAGUUGCGUAUUUCGAUGAAAUCGUGCGAUAAUCCAAAAUCCCAACGGAGUCAGGAAAUCAAUAAAAACG
Long non-coding RNA from Varroa destructor (honeybee mite), 1107 nucleotides. RefSeq lists it as uncharacterized. NCBI's taxonomy places the organism in Eukaryota, Metazoa, Arthropoda, Arachnida, Mesostigmata, Varroidae. The record is from RefSeq and is a predicted model, not a curated record.